GAUGAAGAACGUAGCGAAAUGCGAUAAGUAAUGCGAAUUGCAGAAUCCGUGAGUCAUCGAAUCUUUGAACGCACAUUGCGCCCUGUGGUAUUCCGCAGGGCAUGCCUGUUCGAGCGUCAUUUCAACCCUCAAGCUCUGCUUGGUGUUGGGCCCUGCCCGCUGCGGCCGGCCCUAAAGACAGUGGCGGUGCCGCCUGGCCCUGAGCGUAGUACAUCUCUCGCUCCAGUGCCCGGUGGUAGCCUGCCAGAACCCCAACUCUCGUGGUUGACCUCGGAUCAGGUAGGGAUACCCGCUGAACUUAAGCAUAUCAAUAAGCGGAGGA
Molecule: unclassified non-coding RNA, 322 nt
Filed under: soil metagenome
Description: partial contains 5.8S ribosomal RNA, internal transcribed spacer 2, and large subunit ribosomal RNA
Rfam family: 5.8S ribosomal RNA (bases 1-119)
Source: RNAcentral